AUGGAGGCCCUCCACGAGGAGAUGCCCUUCGACCUCUCCUUCCACCCCUCCGCGCCCCUCGUCGCCACCUCCCUCAUCACCGGCGAGCUCCACAUGUUCCGCUACGCCGACGGUUUGCCGCUGGAGAGGUACUCACGGUUGUUCGUGGCAAAACCUCACAAGGACUCUUGUAGGGCUGUUCGUUUUGUGGACUCAGGAACUGCGAUUCUGACGGGAUCUGCUGAUAUGUCGAUUGUCGCUUCUGAUGUAGAAACAGGCAAAGUCAUUGCCCGUUUGGAUAAUGCACAUGAUGACGCCAUAAACCGCCUUGUGUGUCUUACUGAAACUACAGUUGCUUCAGGCGAUGAUGACGGUUACAUUAAGGUGUGGGAUACUCGGCAACGAUCUUGCUGCAACACUUUUCACCGCCAUGAAGAUUACAUAUCAGAUAUGACCUAUGUAGCUGGCUCAAAUCAAAUAUUGGCUACAAGUGGUGAUGGAACUUUAUCUGUGAACAAUCUCCGGGGUAACAGAGUAAAGUCACAAUCUGAAUUUUCAGAAGACGAACUCCUAUCUGUGGUGGUAAUGAAGAAUGGCCAAAAAGUUGUUUGUGGAACUCCAAGUGGAGCUCUAUUGUUGUACUCGUGGGGACAUUUUAAGGACUGCAGUGACCGUUUUCUGGGGCACGCACAGUCUGUUGAUAACUUGCUGAAGCUGGAUGAAGAAACUCUGAUAUCUGCUGCAGCAGAUGGUGUGAUCAGGUUAGUGGGUAUCUUACCGAAUCAGAUAAUACAGCCGCUAGCUGAGCAUUCAGAAUUUCCAAUCGAGGCGCUUGGUUUCUCGCACGAUAGGAAGUAUCUAGGCAGCAUUUCACAUGACAAAAUGAUAAAGCUCUGGGACAUGGAGGAACUCCUGGGCGGUCCACAGUUAAAUCACCAGAACGACAUGCCCGAAGCCAACGCAGCCGUCCAUCACGACGAGUUGCCUGAAGCCAACGCGGCCAUCCACCACGACGAGUUGCCUGAAGCCAACGCCGCCGCUGGUCACCACGACGAGUUGCCUGCAGCCAACGCCGCCGUCGUCAACCACAACCAGCCGGCUGAAGCUGACAGCGACGACGACGGGAUGGACGUGGACAUGGAGCCAAGCUCUUCAAACGUGUCGAGGAGCAAGAAGAAGGGCAAGGGCAAGAAGCUGGACGGGUUCGCGCCGGACUUCUUUGCAGAUCUGUAG
Molecule: ribosomal RNA, 1212 nt
Filed under: Triticum aestivum (bread wheat)
Lineage: Eukaryota; Viridiplantae; Streptophyta; Magnoliopsida; Poales; Poaceae
Description: partial small subunit ribosomal RNA
Source: RNAcentral